AUGAACGCUGGCGGCGUGCCUAACACAUGCAAGUCGAACGGUCUCGCAAGAGAUAGUGGCGCACGGGUGAGGAACACGUAGCUUACCUGCCCUUUACACUGAGAUAACUCUGCGAAAGCAGAGCUAAUAUCGGAUAAGCUCACGGGGUAUAGAUCCCCUGUGAGAAAAGCUCCGGCGGUAAAGGAGGGGGCUGCGGCCCAUCAGCUAGUUGGCGAGGUAACGGCUCACCAAGGCGACGACGGGUAGGGGACCUGAGAGGGUGACCCCCCACACUGGGACUGAGACACGGCCCAGACUCCUACGGGAGGCAGCAGUGAGGAAUAUUGCUCAAUGGGCGCAAGCCUGAAGCAGCGACGCCGCGUGGACGAUGAAGGUCUUCGGAUCGUAAAGUCCUUUUCUGUGUGACGAGACAAGGACGGUAGCACAGGAAUAAGUGUCGGCUAACUACGUGCCAGCAGCCGCGGUAAUACGUAGGACGCAAGCGUUAUCCGGAGUUACUGGGCGUAAAGAGCGUGUAGGUGGUUUAGCAAGUCAACCGUGAAAGCUCCCGGCUAAACUGGGAGAGGUCGGAUGAGACUGCUAAGCUAGAGGAAGGCAGAGGAGUGUGGAAUUCCGGGUGUAGUGGUGAAAUGCGUAGAGAUCCGGAGGAACACCAGAGGCGAAGGCGGCACUCUGGGCCUUACCUGACACUGAGACGCGAAAGCACGGGGAGCGAACGGGAUUAGAGACCCCGGUAGUCCGUGCCGUAAACGAUGUGUGCUAGAUGUUCGUUUCACUACG
Molecule: ribosomal RNA, 780 nt
Filed under: uncultured bacterium
Lineage: Bacteria
Description: bacterial SSU rRNA
Rfam family: Bacterial small subunit ribosomal RNA
Source: RNAcentral